GAUGAACGCUGGCGGCGUGCUUAAUACAUGCAAGUCGAACGAAUGGAUGUCUAGCUUGCUAGACUGAAGUUAGUGGCGAACGGGUGAGUAAUACAUAGGCAAUCUGCCCUGAAGUGUGGGAUAGCUAUUGGAAACGAUAAUUAAUACCGCAUAGGUAGUAGGAAGGCAUCUUCCUGCUAUUAAAGAUGCGUAUGCAUCGCUGCAGGAUGAGCUUAUGGUGUAUUAGCUAGUUGGUGAGAUAAAAGCCCACCAAGGCUAUGAUACAUAGCUGGUCUGAGAGGAUGAACAGCCACAUUGGGACUGAGACACGGCCCAGACUCCUACGGGAGGCAGCAGUGGGGAAUCUUCCGCAAUGGGCGAAAGCCUGACGGAGCAAUGCCGCGUGAGUGAUGAAGGAAUUCGUUCCGUAAAAGCUCUUUUGUUUAUUGACGAAUGUGCAGACUGUGAAUAA
This 451-nucleotide ribosomal RNA is filed under the name uncultured bacterium. RNAcentral's name for it is "bacterial SSU rRNA". It matches the Rfam family "Bacterial small subunit ribosomal RNA", at positions 28 to 482 of the family's 1533-position model. The record is from RNAcentral.